This 26-nucleotide non-coding RNA is filed under the name Xenopus tropicalis (tropical clawed frog). Lineage: Eukaryota; Metazoa; Chordata; Amphibia; Anura; Pipidae. RNAcentral also lists the same sequence under 85 other names. The record is from RNAcentral.
GUAGGUGACCUGCGGAAGGAUCAUUA